GCACUAUUUUUUAGUGCACCGGGUAUACUCUAUAAUUUACCUUAAAACAUUAUUGCUAUGACAGACAGUUGCUAGAAUUAAACUGCUCAAGACUCCAAAAUCCAUCCAAACCAUAGAUUUUAUGAUUCAUGCUCAAAAUUGUCCAUCAAGUCUACUGUUAAUGGAGUCCACAUGAACUUUAAUGGAUCCAUCAGCAAGUCAACUUAGGUAAGUUAUUUGGGGUAUGGGUUCAAUGCUACAACAACAUUGAUACAACAGGAGAUGCAAGACAUACUUUCACAUUGACAAAAUGCUGCAUUAUGCAAUUUGAAACUCUGAUUCUUUUUCAAUUUUAAGAUGCAAUUUAAGAACCCGUAGACACCUUAAAGUUCAUCAUGGUAAUCGUCAUCGUAGUGGGGAUCAUACUGCAGAAAAACAAAAAAUGAUGUUACAUUAUUUGAGUAAUAAAAAUGUCACAAUGAUCAAGAUCAUACAAUUACAUAUAUCAAAUGUUCUUUCGUGUCUUGCUCUCCUUGAACCAUGCAUAAAACAAUAUACUUGGAGGAAGUUACUAGCCUUCUGAUAAAAGAGCAUAGAAGUUGGUUUUGGCCAACUUAACAAGGAUGGAACUUAGGCUCCAUGAAUGCCCACCGAGAGGAACUUCUGGUUCAAGCUACAGCAUUGAGGAACCAGGUGUAAUAUGGUUCCGGCACAUACAUGGCACUAGUGUCAUCUGACAAUGUUGGCUCAUUUGGCAAAGUAAGCCAUGCAUGCAAAAGGCGCAUGUGGAGGCACAAUAUGGCGCGUGAACCAUAAAGGCUUUGAAAGCUGUGAAUGUAAACUAUGGGCAGUAAAGCCAUGGUUCCAAGAGGAUAAUUUACACGAAUACACAAGCAGAAAUUAGGGGGCAAAGGUGCUGUGUGUGUGCUUCAAAUGGGUGCUCAUUGAUGUGCAUUGUUCAAGCAAAGCCCUCCUCUCUCUUUCAUGGUUUGUAUCCUUGGAGCAAACAUUUAUUUUCUGCAACACUUGGUACACUUAGGCUGCAGACUAACAUAUAUGAUUCAUUUUACAAUGUUUAGCUAUGCUAUACUAGUGAUACAAGUUCUUGGAGUAUGUGUUAAAAUGGAUCUAGAACAUAAAAUAAGGGAUGUUCUUACAAAAUUUCAAGCUGCAAACCAAAAAGAUGCACAAUUUAGUUUGACUAGAAGAAAGCACAAGAUACAAUACCCUUUUAUGACGUCUCCUCUCUCCAUAUCGAUGCCCCCUUUCUUUCCUCCUCCUCUCCCCUUCUUCUCUUGCUCUUUGAGAUUCCUCUUCUUCUCGAGCUCUCCUUAUUUUCUCUGCUUCCUCAAAGGCUUCUUUUUCAACCUCCCUAUUCUUGGCCCAGAUAUCUUCCACAACUUGUCUUGCAUAUUGUGGGUCAUCACAAAUCAAUAUGUUAUCAAAAAUUGAACCAGCCUUCACCUGCCAUACUUCAAUACCCACGUAUUUUAAGGGCUUCAGCACAUAAAGGUCAGGAUCAUCUUCAAACUCUGGGUUGUCAAUCCAUGAAGUCUUCUUCCACUUCCCCUUAUAGUUGGGGUUCCUGAUUUUCUUUCUUUUCCAUGGUCCUUUGUAUGCUGGAUUUGGGAUCUUGGGUGGCUUCCAUAUCCCAUCCUCCUCUUCAUCCCAGUCAUCAGGCUAUUCAAACCAGCAACACAAAACGUGACAUUAUAAUCCAUUUCACUCUCAUGACAGUUAAAUCAGUUUUUUUUUUUUUUUGAAACAUGA
This 1749-nucleotide unclassified non-coding RNA is filed under the name Hevea brasiliensis (rubber tree). The record is from RNAcentral. Lineage: Eukaryota; Viridiplantae; Streptophyta; Magnoliopsida; Malpighiales; Euphorbiaceae.